This 576-nucleotide long non-coding RNA is filed under the name Vigna radiata. RNAcentral's name for it is "long non-coding RNA (VRAD_LNC008229)". Lineage: Eukaryota; Viridiplantae; Streptophyta; Magnoliopsida; Fabales; Fabaceae. The record is from RNAcentral.
UACUCAAUUCAGAUUUUCAAUGGAAUCUCAUCAAGAUGCACACAUGCUUCACUUUAUCACAAAUCACAUAGUGUUCACAUAAUCAUACAAUUUUCAACAGAUGUUAUUCUUAUGAAUGAUCAAUUAACUAAGCACAAACAAAAUCAUGAAUUCAUGGAACCAAUCCUCACCAGAUAAAGUGUCUCACUAAAUCACUCAAGUUUUUCAAGAAGUCACUCCUUCCCUCUACUAUCUACAUGUCAUAUAGAACAAAGUUGUCAUUCAUUUACCACAAUCAAACAUCAUACAUACACAUGUCAUCACAAGGACUUUUUCAAGGCUUAUAACGUGGUUGGGCUAACAAGGAAAAUUGGUUUUUCUAGAUCACAAAAUCCUUGAGUUAAGAGAUUCAUUCAACCAUAACUCUCCUUUUACCACUCUCACUCAUUCCCAACUUUCCCUUUUCUUCUCAUCGAGCUUUUCUUUUCAUGCUUUUCUUUUUUCUAUCUUUUUCAUGCUUUUUCUCAUGCAUCUUCAUUCAACACAUUAGCUCGAUGUCUAACUUUUUUUUUUUCUUUUUCAACUUCCCAACAACCC